GAUGAACGCUGGCGGCGUGCUUAACACAUGCAAGUCGAACGAUGAAGCCCAGCUUGCUGGGUGGAGUAGUGGCGAACGGGUGAGUAACACGGGAGUAACCUGCCCUUAACUCUGGGAUAAGCCUGGGAAACUGGGUCUAAUACCGGAUAGGAGCGUCCACCGCAUGGUGGGUGUUGGAAAGAUUUAUCGGGUUUGGAUGGACUCGCGGCCUAUCAGCUUGUUGGUGAGGUAAUGGCCCACCAAGGCGACGACGGGUAGCCGUACUGAGGGGGGGUCCGGCCACAGUGGGACUGGGAGACGGCCCAGACGUCUCCGGGAGGCAGCAGUGGGGAAUAUUGGACACUGGGCGAAAGCCUUAUGCAGCGACGCCGGGUGAGGGAUGACUGCCUUCGGGUUGUAAACCUCUUUCAGUAGGGAAGAAGCGAAAGUGACGGUACCUGCAGAAGAAGCACCGGCUAACUACGUGCCAGCCGCCGCCGUAA
RNAcentral lists this ribosomal RNA (482 nucleotides) under uncultured bacterium. RNAcentral describes it as "partial 16S ribosomal RNA". It matches the Rfam family "Bacterial small subunit ribosomal RNA", at positions 28 to 523 of the family's 1533-position model. The record is from RNAcentral.